RNAcentral lists this non-coding RNA (27 nucleotides) under Homo sapiens (human). The record is from RNAcentral. Lineage: Eukaryota; Metazoa; Chordata; Mammalia; Primates; Hominidae.
UGAGCUCUUCACCACCUCGUCUACAGC